AGAUCUGCACCCCUAACCCAGCCUGAGGGUGACUAUUCAGUCUACAGUCAUUAGGUCCUCAACCCAUAGACACACUCUGUGGGCUUCAGGUUUGGCCUGACAGACAGUAGGCCAACUGUGACCAGUUAGAGGCAGCUGGUAGCAUGAUGACAGAGGGUGGGUUUAGAUCCCUCCAGUCUCCACCUAGGAUUAGUGAAUCUUCUGUGACAAGCUUCACUCGGUUUCACUGCCGGGCAGAGUGCCCCACCUUAAGAUGGCGAUGGCGGAGGGCCUCGUAAGGUGAUUGGUCAGACGGGCAACCAAUGAAUUCCCCGGAUUUGGGAUGUCACGUGGUCUAAGAGCGUCCUGAUAAGUCCGUCGGCGGCUUCACCAGUGCUUGAGCCGGUCAGGCAGCGGGCUAGGGGAGAGUAGGAGCAGGCGCUGUGCGCACGGCUUCCUAGAUUCACGUUAAGGUCCGACUUUUCGUAGCCAUCGGACUCGAGAAGUAUUUAGCUCCAGGCGCUAAUCCGCUUCCUGGACGGUGAC
This 525-nucleotide long non-coding RNA is filed under the name Mus pahari (shrew mouse). RNAcentral's name for it is "predicted gene 28306 (MGP_PahariEiJ_G0003566.1)". Lineage: Eukaryota; Metazoa; Chordata; Mammalia; Rodentia; Muridae. The record is from RNAcentral.